AUUUAUAUAGUUUAAAAAAAACAUUAUUUUUUCAUAAUAACAAUAAUACUAAAUUAUUUAUAAAUA
RNAcentral lists this transfer RNA (66 nucleotides) under Zele chlorophthalmus. RNAcentral describes it as "tRNA-Glu". Lineage: Eukaryota; Metazoa; Arthropoda; Insecta; Hymenoptera; Braconidae. The record is from RNAcentral.